UUUUUUAAACUAUCUUAGACGAGUUAAGGGGAGACUUUUUAACGUUUUACAUGUUUUUAUUUCUGAUUUUACAAUCACAUUUUAAAGAUGAGUUCUAGAAAGGCCUUUCAAACUUUUUUUAUUUUUAAUUGUUUUUCACAUUACUUCAUUUUUUUAUGUAUUAAAUUUUUUUUACGUCAUAAUCGUGAGGCGAGAACAGAAAACAGACGAGGUAAGUUUCUCAUCAUUAGACAUGUUUUAUCUUUCUUUCAAAAGACACUAAAUGGUGCUAUUUCACUCUUCUGUAUUUUAACAGUUUAUCUUAUGUGGCGAAAGCAGCUCAUCCACAGUCCACUCACCAAAGACAUCCUCUCUUCGGCCAUGUACCAGCCAAAUGCCGCCUUAAGUCCAGGAAAAGUUUUCUGAAAACUGUCCCACCCCUCAGAACGCCGAACACAGGCAGUGAAAGAGUCACUCGGUGGGAAGAAAGACUUGACAAUCUUCCACCAGAAACUACAAUGGAGCUUAAAGCAAGCGAGGCAAUGACCCCAGGAGCAGACACCAACUAUGUAUGCAACGUGGAAAUGCCUAAAUAGACUAAGAUCUGGUGUUGGACGUGCAAAAGUCACUCUCGCCAAAUGGGGACAUCUGGAGGAUCGGAACAGCGAGUGUGACUGUGGCACUGAACCACAGACCAUGCAACACCUCCUCAUGUGCCCCUGCUGGAACAUCCCUGCACAGCAUCGAAUUUAGCAGAGUUUAACGGGAGCUCGGCCACUCUGGGAAUCAACCUUGAUCAGAACCUACCUAACAGACCAAACAGAACUACUUUACAGGCUUUCUUGUCGUCACAGAGGGCAACAGUUUCAAGAACACCUGUACAAGGGAGGCCUGCAUCAUGGAACACAAACUCCCAAACACACGACUUCUCCUGCUUCUUCUGUGAGUAGCCAAGAAGCACAGCGAGAGCCACGCAUUUCAAGAAGACUUGUACAAGGGAGGCCUGCAUCAUGGAACACAAACUCCCAAACACACAUGACUUCUCCUGAUUCUUCUCACAGCGAGAGCCACGCAUUUCAAGAAGACUUGUACAAGGGAGGCCUGCAUCAUGGAACACAAACUCCCAAACACACAUGACUUCUCCUGCUUCAUCUUAUGUUCCUGGGUCUUGCCUGUGGUUCUACAUGCAUCCAGUCAUGCAGACAGAGAACACCUUAGCCUUUAACUGUCGGAAGCUGUCCCUCUGCGAGGCCUCAUAGUAUAGUCUGUUUUCUGUUCUCAUUCAUUCAUUUAUUUAUUCAUUUAUUCAUUUAUUUAUUUAUUUAUUUAUCGGCCUUUCUAUAUUUCUUUGCCUUAAAUUUUGUUUAUUAAGUUUUGUGUUUCCAAUAUGUGCAUGUUCAUUUCAUCACAUACAAGUCCAGUCCAAUGUAUACGUUCUUGUUUGUCAUUUUGUAUGUUCAGUAUUUAUUGAGUCAGUUAAACAUUUUAUCUAUUUUUUUUAUUAUUUAUAAGAUUUCACGCAUUAUAUAUUCCAUUCUGCCCAAAACAACUAAUAUCAUACUGUAUUUUGGUUCCAAAAAGCACCAUGCAACUGUUUUUUUUCCUUCUUGUUUAGAAGGAAAAGUGUAAAGUGUAUGUUGACAACUUAUGUUGUGAUUUGUCGUAUAAAAUAACCUGUUUUGAAUGACAUUAUUCAUAAUUGACAUUUAUUUAAUUCUUUCUUUAAUAGAAAAUAGGUCUUUUC
Molecule: long non-coding RNA, 1723 nt
Organism: Syngnathus typhle (broad-nosed pipefish)
Lineage: Eukaryota; Metazoa; Chordata; Actinopteri; Syngnathiformes; Syngnathidae
Exons: 4
Source: RefSeq, a predicted model, not a curated record